CCUACGGGAGGCAGCAGUGAGGAAUAUUGGUCAAUGGACGAGAGUCUGAACCAGCCAAGUAGCGUGAAGGAUGACUGCCCUAUGGGUUGUAAACUUCUUUUAUAUGGGAAUAAAACAGGGUAUGCAUACCCUUUUGUAUGUACCAUAUGAAUAAGGAUCGGCUAACUCCGUGCCAGCAGCCGCGGUAAUACGGAGGAUCCGAGCGUUAUCCGGAUUUAUUGGGUUUAAAGGGAGCGGAGGGGGAUUGUUAAGUCAGUUGUGAAAGUUUGCGGCUCAACCGUAAAAUUGCAGUUGAAACUGGCGGUCUUGAGUACAGUAGAGGUGGGCGGAAUUCGUGGUGUAGCGGUGAAAUGCUUAGAUAUCACGAAGAACUCCGAUUGCGAAGGCAGCUCACUGGACUGCAACUGACACUGAUGCUCGAAAGUGUGGGUAUCAAACAGGAUUAGAUACCCCGGUAGUC
This 460-nucleotide ribosomal RNA is filed under the name uncultured bacterium. RNAcentral's name for it is "partial 16S ribosomal RNA". It matches the Rfam family "Bacterial small subunit ribosomal RNA", at positions 338 to 795 of the family's 1533-position model. The record is from RNAcentral.